GCUACGUAGGCGGCCAACUAAGUCAUACGUGAAAUCCCUCGGCUUAACCGGGGAACUGCGUCUGAUACUGGAUGGCUUGAGUUCGGGAGAGGGAUGCGGAAUUCCAGGUGUAGCGGUGAAAUGCGUAGAUAUCUGGAGGAACACCGGUGGCGAAGGCGGCAUCCUGGACCGAUACUGACGCUGAGGAGCGAAAGCCAGGGGAGCAAACG
RNAcentral lists this ribosomal RNA (209 nucleotides) under uncultured bacterium. RNAcentral describes it as "partial 16S ribosomal RNA". It matches the Rfam family "Bacterial small subunit ribosomal RNA", at positions 567 to 774 of the family's 1533-position model. The record is from RNAcentral.